Myotis myotis is the source of this 2310-nucleotide RNA transcript. It is a transcript of the gene named enoyl-CoA delta isomerase 2, with no coding region annotated. The record is from RefSeq and is a predicted model, not a curated record. The transcript is spliced from 10 exons. NCBI's taxonomy places the organism in Eukaryota, Metazoa, Chordata, Mammalia, Chiroptera, Vespertilionidae.
UCCGGGCCCUUCCACCCCAGCCUCACCCCACCCACCGAAUUCCUCCACGCCCCCGGGAUCGCUAUGGCGGGCGUGGCGGGGAGGCUGGCCCGGCGCUGGUGUCGGAGUGCCGUCCGGAGUCCUCUGCAGGUCAUUAGUUUCCCAUCACUUCAGUUGCACUUGAGUGGAACAGCAAUGAGAGCCAGUCAGGAGGACUUUGAAAGUGCAAUGAAUCAGGUAAAACUGUUGAAGAAGGAUCCAGGAAAUGAAGUGAAGCUAAGACUCUAUGCACUAUAUAAGCAGGCCACUGAAGGACCUUGCAAUAUGCCCAAACCAGGUGUGUUUGACUUUAUUAAUAAGGCCAAAUGGGAUGCAUGGAAUGCUCUAGGCAGUCUGCCCAAGGAAACUGCCAGGCAGAACUAUGUAGAUUUGGUAUCCAGUUUGACUUCUUCAUCUGAGUCCUCCACCCAAGUGAAGCCUGGAGCAGACAGGGGACAACAGGAAUAUGAAAACCUAGUGGUGACCUCUGAAGACGGCAUCACAAAGAUCAUGUUCAACCGGCCCACCAGAAAGAAUGCAAUCAGCACCCAGAUGUAUCAAGAAAUCAUGCUUGCACUUAAAGCUGCAAGCAAGGAUGACUCGACCAUAACUGUUGUAACAGGAAAUGGCGACUAUUACUGUAGUGGGAAUGACCUGGCUAACUUCACUGAUAUUCCCCCUGGUGGAGUAGAAGAGAAAGCCAAACAAAGUGCUAUUAUGCUGAGGGAUUUUGUAGGCACUUUUAUAGAUUUUCCUAAGCCUCUGGUUGCAGUGGUAAACGGUCCAGCUGUGGGGAUCUCCGUCACCAUCCUCGGACUGUUCGAUGCUGUGUAUGCCUCUGACAGGGCAACAUUUCAUACUCCUUUUAGUCACCUAGGCCUAAGCCCAGAAGGAUGCGCCUCUUACACUUUUCCGAAGAUAAUGGGCCCAGCCAAGAGAAGGAAAUUUUCUGCUCAUCAACUCUUAAAGAGUUUUAGAAUGAAGAACCAGGCUGUGGGAAAUGUCUGCUAUGGGGGGAAAUCAGAAACUCGCUCUCCAGCACCCCAAAUCUGGGGGACUGGUCUUUCCACUGGCUGCCGAGUGCCAGCUGCACCACAAGUGGCACAGGCCUCCUCCUCCACAGCUGCGCGGCAUUCUUCAGGGGCAGGACUGGAGCUGUGCCCGCCUCCCUUGGUCUGCGAGGCUGAUUCCUCUCCUAAUUUCCUCAUGGAUGAGCAUCAUCCACUGAAAGUGAUACAGUGACAUCUUUACUUUCAGAAUCAUGGGAAGUACCAGCAGAUGUGAGGCCCCACGGGGUCCCACUUUGUCACGGAGCCUUUUCAUCAGCUGGUUUUAGCAGGGUCUGAAGGUUCCUGGAGUGGCGAGGUGGCUGCUCAGGUCUAUCACUGGGUCUAUGAAAGCAUAAUUGUCACGCUCUGUGUACAUAGUUCCAAAGGGUUCGUGACAAGACCAGAGAGACAGGGAUAGGGAAAGGCUUAGCAAACAUUCUUCAAGGCCUGAAAGGGAGAGUAGGAAUUGAGCCUAUUUUCAUUGCUAUUAGGGUUUUGUCACAUAUUUUUUAAGUCUUUUCUGUCAUAUACCUUGAAUUGUUAUUGAGGUUUUAACUUUGAAACAUUGGCUAGAAAUAACCCUAAGGUUUAAAAGCAUUUGGCUAUGAAAUAGUCUUACUUUUCUGGAAGAGAAACUGCAAGUGUAGAAAUAUAUAUACUUAGUGAUACCGGGUUUUUUUGAAACUGAAUAUUAGUCUUAUCACUUUCCUUCAGUCAAAUAGAACUAAUUUGAGUGCCUGUGCAGGUAAAAGAAAACCAUCAGAGCUGGACCACUGGGUAAAAUUUCCAGGGAAGGGAAUUUUGAAGGUUAGGGAUUCUAAAAGUUGGUUGGCAUUUCCUAUGACCAUGAUUUUUUUAUCUUUUUAAAAAUAAUUGUUUAUAGUGUAUAAAAGCAGAAAAUCAUAUCUUCUGUGGGUUAUAAAGUCAGCACCUGCUUCAGGUCAUUCCUGCCCCAGCUUCCUCUCCAACACAGAUAACACACAGAAGCAACAACCCUACAAACCUUCUAGAGAGCCUCACUGCUCAGUUUGCAAAUUAUUGCCUAUUGAUGUCCUCAGUUUCUUCCUUUGAGAAAUACUAGCAACCUCGAAAGACCAUAAGCAACAGAGAUGCUUAUUUUUGGAAAGAAGUUAACAGCAGGAGAAGCAUGUGCUCAAGGACUUGUUACUGAAGUUUUUCCUGAUAGUACUUUUCAGAAAGAAGUUUGGACUAGGCUGAAAGCAUAUUCAAAGCUCCCCCCAAA